This 377-nucleotide ribosomal RNA is filed under the name uncultured bacterium. RNAcentral describes it as "partial 16S ribosomal RNA". It matches the Rfam family "Bacterial small subunit ribosomal RNA", at positions 338 to 729 of the family's 1533-position model. The record is from RNAcentral.
CCUACGGGUGGCAGCAGUGGGGGAUAUUGGACAAUGGGGGUAACCCUGAUCCAGCGACGCCGCGUGAGUGAAGAAGUAUUUCUGGAUCUUAAGCUCUUUCAGCAGGGGAGAAAGAAAUGACGGUACCUGACCAAGGAGCGCCGGCUAACUACGUGCCAGCAGCAGCUGUAAUACGUAGGGGGCAAGCGUUAUCCGGAAUUACUGGGUGUCAGGGUAUCGUAGACGGGUAUGUAAGUCUGGAGUGAAAGGCCGUGGCCCAACCCCGGGACUGCUGUUGAAACUAGGGAACUUGAGUGACGGGGAGGCAAGCGGAAUUCCUGGUGUAGCGGUGAAAUGCGUAGAUAUUAGGAGGAACACCAGUGGCGAAGGCGGCUUAC